GACGAACGCUGGCGGCGUGCUUAACACAUGCAAGUCGAACGGAAAGGCCUUUUCGGAGGUACUCGAGUGGCGAACGGGUGAGUAACACGUGGGUGAUCUGCCCUGCACUCUGGGAUAAGCCUGGGAAACUGGGUCUAAUACCGGAUAGGACCGCACUUUAGAGUGUGUGGUGGAAAGUUUUUUCGGUGUAGGAUGAGCCCGCGGCCUAUCAGCUUGUUGGUGGGGUAAUGGCCUACCAAGGCGGCGACGGGUAGCCGGACUGAGAGGUUGGUCGGCCACAUUCGGUCUGUGCGACGCGCCAGACCCUCUCAGGAGGCAGAGGGGGGGAAUAUUGCAGAGUGGGCGGAAUCCUGAGCCAGCGACUCAUGGUGAUGGUUGACGGCCUGCGGGUGAUAAUCUCCUGUCGCCAGGGACGAGGCGAGUUGUGACGGUACCUGGAGAAGAAGCUCCGGCUAACUACGUG
RNAcentral lists this ribosomal RNA (463 nucleotides) under uncultured bacterium. RNAcentral's name for it is "partial 16S ribosomal RNA". It matches the Rfam family "Bacterial small subunit ribosomal RNA", at positions 28 to 507 of the family's 1533-position model. The record is from RNAcentral.